This 821-nucleotide ribosomal RNA is filed under the name Lactiplantibacillus pentosus. RNAcentral's name for it is "bacterial SSU rRNA". It matches the Rfam family "Bacterial small subunit ribosomal RNA", at positions 88 to 898 of the family's 1533-position model. Lineage: Bacteria; Bacillati; Bacillota; Bacilli; Lactobacillales; Lactobacillaceae. The record is from RNAcentral.
UGAGUGAGUGGCGAACUGGUGAGUAACACGUGGGAAACCUGCCCAGAAGCGGGGGAUAACACCUGGAAACAGAUGCUAAUACCGCAUAACAACUUGGACCGCAUGGUCCGAGUUUGAAAGAUGGCUUCGGCUAUCACUUUUGGAUGGUCCCGCGGCGUAUUAGCUAGAUGGUGGGGUAACGGCUCACCAUGGCAAUGAUACGUAGCCGACCUGAGAGGGUAAUCGGCCACAUUGGGACUGAGACACGGCCCAAACUCCUACGGGAGGCAGCAGUAGGGAAUCUUCCACAAUGGACGAAAGUCUGAUGGAGCAACGCCGCGUGAGUGAAGAAGGGUUUCGGCUCGUAAAACUCUGUUGUUAAAGAAGAACAUAUCUGAGAGUAACUGUUCAGGUAUUGACGGUAUUUAACCAGAAAGCCACGGCUAACUACGUGCCAGCAGCCGCGGUAAUACGUAGGUGGCAAGCGUUGUCCGGAUUUAUUGGGCGUAAAGCGAGCGCAGGCGGUUUUUUAAGUCUGAUGUGAAAGCCUUCGGCUCAACCGAAGAAGUGCAUCGGAAACUGGGAAACUUGAGUGCAGAAGAGGACAGUGGAACUCCAUGUGUAGCGGUGAAAUGCGUAGAUAUAUGGAAGAACACCAGUGGCGAAGGCGGCUGUCUGGUCUGUAACUGACGCUGAGCUCGAAAGUAUGGGUAGCAAACAGGAUUAGAUACCCUGGUAGUCCAUACCGUAAACGAUGAAUGCUAAGUGUUGGAGGGUUUCCGCCCUUCAGUGCUGCAGCUAACGCAUUAGCAUUCCGCCUGGGGAGUACGCCGCAAGCUGAA